UUGACGGGGCCCGCACAAGCGGUGGAGCAUGUGGUUAAUUCGAAGCAACGCGAAGAACCUUACCAGGCCUUGACAUGCAGAGAACUUUCCAGAGAUGGAUUGGUGCCUUCGGGAACUCUGACACAGGUGCUGCAUGGCUGUCGCCAGCUCGUGUCGUGAGAUGUUGGGUUAAGUCCCGUAACGAGCGCAACCCUUGUCCUUAGUUACCAGCACGUUAUGGUGGGCACUCUAAGGAGACUGCCGGUGACAAACCGGAGGAAGGUGGGGAUGACGUCAAGUCAUCAUGGCCCUUACGGCCUGGGCUACACACGUGCUACAAUGGUCGGUACAAAGGGUUGCCAAGCCGCGAGGUGGAGCUAAUCCCAUAAAACCGAUCGUAGUCCGGAUCGCAGUCUGCAACUCGACUGCGUGAAGUCGGAAUCGCUAGUAAUCGUGAAUCAGAAUGUCACGGUGAAUACGUUCCCGGGCCUU
Molecule: ribosomal RNA, 471 nt
Filed under: uncultured Pseudomonas sp.
Lineage: Bacteria; Pseudomonadati; Pseudomonadota; Gammaproteobacteria; Pseudomonadales; Pseudomonadaceae
Description: bacterial SSU rRNA
Rfam family: Bacterial small subunit ribosomal RNA
Source: RNAcentral